Molecule: ribosomal RNA, 468 nt
Filed under: uncultured bacterium
Lineage: Bacteria
Description: partial 16S ribosomal RNA
Rfam family: Bacterial small subunit ribosomal RNA
Source: RNAcentral
GACGAACGCUGGCGGCGUGCUUAACACAUGCAAGUCGAACGGAAAGGCCCUGCUUUUGUGGGGGGCUCGAGUGGCGAACGGGGGUGAAACGCGUGAGUAACCUGCCCGUGACUUUGGGAUAACUUCAAGAAACGGGGGCUAACACCGGACAGCAGCCUCUGCCGCAUGGUGGGGGGGGGAAAGUUUCGGUGGUUUGGGAUGGACUCGCGGCUUAUCAGCUUGUUGGUGGGGUAGUGGCUUACCAAGGCUUUGACGGGUAGCCGGCCUGAGAGGGUGACCGGCCACAUUGGGCCUGGGCUCCGGCCCGGACUCCUACGGGAGGCAGAAGUGGGGAAUAUUGCACAAUGGGCGGAAGCCUGAUGCAGCACCGCCGCGUGCGGGAUGACGGCCUUCGGGUUGUAACCCGCUUCCGCAUGUGACGAGGCGUGAGUGACGGUACUGGGUAAAGAAGCACCGGCUAACUACGUG